AGGGAACAGAGGGAGGGAAGAAAAAACCCAUUUUGCAUGAGAAAUAAUUUAUGAGAAGAAAAAACCCAUUUCGCCGGAGGACUUAUUAUAACGGAAUUCACGUUGCCCAGCCAUAAAGCUUAAACCUCCUACGUAUUUUCAACUUGAGUCACAUUCUUCUCAUUUUCUUUAGUGUGGUGCAAUUUUUAAUUUCCAAUUUCUACUUCACAGGUUGGAAAAAUUACAUGGUUUGCAACUGUAGUUGAAGUCUUAAGACAACAAUUCCAUUAAUCGCUACUAUUGUGCACCUGAAUCCUCUUCUAUGUUUGUUUCCCCCAUUUUAGUUUAUUGCUUAAACUGAAGGAGUGAAUUAUUUUGUAAAAGAUCAAAAGCUACAUUUUGAGUCUCCUAAUCUAUUAGGCCAACAUAAUGCUCCACCUUACUGCUUGUGUGAUUCACAACAUAAUAUUCAGUUAGAAUCCCGGUGUAAUGAUUCACUUAACAGUGCCAGUGUGAGCAUACUAGAUCCAAAAUCGUCGAAAAGAAAAGGUGCGCCAAGGAAACUUUAGAAAAAAGCCCAUUGGAGUCGACUUCAAAGAAAUCGAAGGUGUGUUCUUGCCUCUGAUCUUUUCCAUUCUAAUGUAGUCCUUUACCAAAUUUUAAUUCAUCUCAAUGUACAUGUAAGCAACUUCAAAUUUAAACAAAGGCAACAGAUCGAAACCACGGGACAGUAAUACAGACGAAGGUGCACCCAACAUUCAACAAUUUCAACAAACACGGUAUUUACAAUCAAUGUCGUUCUCGUAUUCACACCUAUUAUUGGUUAGUAUAUUGAUUUUACAUAGUUGUGGUUUUUUGAACUAUUGUUUAAUUUGCUCUUUGAUGUAGGCCGACACUAGAACUCACGUGUUUUCCCAACAAUUACCGGAUAUAAAUUUGACCCUUCCGUCGUCUUUGAACAACAUACUCAGUUCUGCAGGUAUGGGCAUUUUUCAAUCGUUCUAACUCAAUAUGUACAUAUACAGUAUUAAUGUAGUAAUGUCCGUGGUGCAAAUUAGGUCAAUCGUUGCAAUCCUACUAUCCACAUUAAAUUUAUAACGGUGGCAUAGGAACAUAGGCGGGUGGAAGUUUGGUGAUUAUUUUUUACUUUGUUUUUUGUCUUCCGCAUUGCUAAAUGCAAAAUGGUAAUAUGGGCUUGGAUUGCAUUGUAAGGUUUUGUUUAUGCCGUCUUGUGUAGUGCUUAACUUUAGUUAAUAAUGAAGACAAGAUGGACUUCAGCGGGAUCUUGGAAGCUAUUAAGUUAGUGUACUCUUUAUAUAAUAUGUUGAGUUGUUCUUGCUAUGUUUUGCUUAAAAUAAAAAUUUAUGGACAAAUCUGUUGUUUUCUUUGUCUUCUAUCACAACAGACCAACUUCAAUGACAGGUAUGAUGAGACCAGGAAGAAGUCGGGUGGUGGAGUAAUAGGCUCAUGUUUUGGUUUUGUCAGGUGUUUAUGCACUAAAAUUCAGUACUUAGUUGCUGUAACUUCUUCAUUUUAAUGAUUAUAAUGUGGUAAACUUGGCAAGCUAGUGGUUGCUAGACCAGAUGUACA
This 1569-nucleotide long non-coding RNA is filed under the name Olea europaea subsp. europaea. The record is from RNAcentral. Lineage: Eukaryota; Viridiplantae; Streptophyta; Magnoliopsida; Lamiales; Oleaceae.